GAAGUCACACGUGGGGCUGCACCAGCGUGGUCAGUGGCCCCUGCCCUGGGGCUGCACAGGGGUCACCUGGCCGGGCGGGAGGCUGCACCCUGUGUCCAAACAGCACAUCUGAGAUCAUCUCGUGGCACCCACACGCUUGUUUUCCCAGAGUCGUCGACAUUUUUAAGCCAGCAUUUCCCAGUUGGCAAAACACAGACCUGUCAAGAGUUCAGCCGGGACAUUAUUCCGGAUCAUCAGACCUCUUGGUCACGCCAUCCUGUCUGUGCCUUGGACCUGCCACUGGCCAGAGAGAUGCUCCGGUGCCCAGUGGCACUUAGUUCUGGAGGGUACUGAUGUUUAACCUCAAAGAGCAAGGGGGAUGCUAAAUGUAUUAUUCAGUACGACCAUUAUUUUUACCUUUCUGUAAAUCAAAUCUACUAAACAUGACCUUUCUCAAGCCAAAUGAUUACUCAAAUUUGUUUAAAAAGUGUGAUAUAUUCUCACACAGACAAGCAAAUGAAAGAAUUAUAAAGCAAACACCCAGGUCCAGGAAUAGAACACUGUCUGCUUGCAGAAGUCUCCCAUG
Long non-coding RNA from Tupaia belangeri chinensis (Chinese tree shrew), 565 nucleotides. RefSeq lists it as uncharacterized. The transcript is spliced from 3 exons. Lineage: Eukaryota; Metazoa; Chordata; Mammalia; Scandentia; Tupaiidae. The record is from RefSeq and is a predicted model, not a curated record.